Molecule: ribosomal RNA, 1363 nt
Filed under: Salmonella enterica
Lineage: Bacteria; Pseudomonadati; Pseudomonadota; Gammaproteobacteria; Enterobacterales; Enterobacteriaceae
Also listed under: 5 other names
Description: partial 23S ribosomal RNA
Rfam family: Bacterial large subunit ribosomal RNA
Source: RNAcentral
AGCAACAAAUGCCCUGCUUCCAGGAAAAGCCUCUAAGCAUCAGGUAACAUCAAAUCGUACCCCAAACCGACACAGGUGGUCAGGUAGAGAAUACCAAGGCGCUUGAGAGAACUCGGGUGAAGGAACUAGGCAAAAUGGUGCCGUAACUUCGGGAGAAGGCACGCUGACACGUAGGUGAAGUGAUUUACUCAUGGAGCUGAAGUCAGUCGAAGAUACCAGCUGGCUGCAACUGUUUAUUAAAAACACAGCACUGUGCAAACACGAAAGUGGACGUAUACGGUGUGACGCCUGCCCGGUGCCGGAAGGUUAAUUGAUGGGGUCAGCGCAAGCGAAGCUCCUGAUCGAAGCCCCGGUAAACGGCGGCCGUAACUAUAACGGUCCUAAGGUAGCGAAAUUCCUUGUCGGGUAAGUUCCGACCUGCACGAAUGGCGUAAUGAUGGCCAGGCUGUCUCCACCCGAGACUCAGUGAAAUUGAACUCGCUGUGAAGAUGCAGUGUACCCGCGGCAAGACGGAAAGACCCCGUGAACCUUUACUAUAGCUUGACACUGAACAUUGAGCCUUGAUGUGUAGGAUAGGUGGGAGGCUUUGAAGUGUGGACGCCAGUCUGCAUGGAGCCGACCUUGAAAUACCACCCUUUAAUGUUUGAUGUUCUAACGUGGACCCGUGAUCCGGGUUGCGGACAGUGUCUGGUGGGUAGUUUGACUGGGGCGGUCUCCUCCUAAAGAGUAACGGAGGAGCACGAAGGUUGGCUAAUCCUGGUCGGACAUCAGGAGGUUAGUGCAAUGGCAUAAGCCAGCUUGACUGCGAGCGUGACGGCGCGAGCAGGUGCGAAAGCAGGUCAUAGUGAUCCGGUGGUUCUGAAUGGAAGGGCCAUCGCUCAACGGAUAAAAGGUACUCCGGGGAUAACAGGCUGAUACCGCCCAAGAGUUCAUAUCGACGGCGGUGUUUGGCACCUCGAUGUCGGCUCAUCACAUCCUGGGGCUGAAGUAGGUCCCAAGGGUAUGGCUGUUCGCCAUUUAAAGUGGUACGCGAGCUGGGUUUAGAACGUCGUGAGACAGUUCGGUCCCUAUCUGCCGUGGGCGCUGGAGAACUGAGGGGGGCUGCUCCUAGUACGAGAGGACCGGAGUGGACGCAUCACUGGUGUUCGGGUUGUCAUGCCAAUGGCACUGCCCGGUAGCUAAAUGCGGAAGAGAUAAGUGCUGAAAGCAUCUAAGCACGAAACUUGCCCCGAGAUGAGUUCUCCCUGAGACUUAAAGUCUCCUGAAGGAACGUUGAAGACGACGACGUUGAUAGGCCGGGUGUGUAAGCGCAGCGAUGCGUUGAGCUAACCGGUACUAAUGAACCGUGAGGCUUAACCUUACA